This 372-nucleotide ribosomal RNA is filed under the name uncultured organism. RNAcentral's name for it is "bacterial SSU rRNA". It matches the Rfam family "Bacterial small subunit ribosomal RNA", at positions 526 to 896 of the family's 1533-position model. The record is from RNAcentral.
CGGAGGUGGCAAGCGUUGUUCGGAAUUACUGGGCGUAAAGGGCGCGUAGGCGGCUAGGCAAGUCAGGUGUGAAAGCCCCGGGCUUAACCCGGGAAUUGCAUCUGAAACUGCUGUGCUUGAGUUCUGGAGGGGGUAGUGGAAUUCCCAGUGUAGCGGUGAAAUGCGUAGAUAUUGGGAGGAACACCUGCGGCGAAGGUGGCUACCUGGACAGAAACUGACGCCGAGGCGCGAAAGCUAGGGGAGCGAACGGGAUUAGAUACCCCGGUAGUCCUAGCUGUAAACGAUGGGCACUUGGUGUUGGGGGUAUUGAGUCCCCCAGUGCCGGAGUUAACACGUUAAGUGCCCCGCCUGGGGAGUACGGUCGCAAGACUG